This 228-nucleotide long non-coding RNA is filed under the name Capsicum annuum. RNAcentral's name for it is "long non-coding RNA (CANN_LNC011506)". The record is from RNAcentral. Lineage: Eukaryota; Viridiplantae; Streptophyta; Magnoliopsida; Solanales; Solanaceae.
GGGGUGGGAUGCUUGUACUUUUUUUGGAGUCUGUCUCCAUGGGGGUUUUCAUUACUUGCAUUUCUUUCCCUCGUGUGCUAUCUAGGAGAACCUUUAUAGUUAGGGUUUCUGUAUAAUGUUUUCCCUUUCAUCUUUUGAUUGUAUAAUGUGGUACAUAUUGUUCUUGUGGAAAGAAAAUGGUUGAAUCAAUAGUUGUUGGUUGGAAUAUGUAAAAUAAUGAUCCAUUAG